RNAcentral lists this ribosomal RNA (488 nucleotides) under uncultured bacterium. Its description in RNAcentral is "partial 16S ribosomal RNA". It matches the Rfam family "Bacterial small subunit ribosomal RNA", at positions 355 to 852 of the family's 1533-position model. The record is from RNAcentral.
UGGGGAAUAUUGCACAAUGGGCGAAAGCCUGAUGCAGCGACGCCGCGUGAGGGAUGACGGCCUUCGGGUUGUAAACCUCUUUCAGCAGGGAAGAAGCGAAAGUGACGGUACCUGCAGAAGAAGCGCCGGCUAACUACGUGCCAGCAGCCGCGGUAAUACGUAGGGCGCAAGCGUUGUCCGGAAUUAUUGGGCGUAAAGAGCUCGUAGGCGGUUAGUCGCGUCUGCUGUGAAAACUCGAGGCUCAACCUCGGGCUUGCAGUGGGUACGGGCUGACUAGAGUGCGGUAGGGGUGACUGGAAUUCCUGGUGUAGCGGUGGAAUGCGCAGAUAUCAGGAGGAACACCGAUGGCGAAGGCAGGUCACUGGGCCGCAACUGACGCUGAGGAGCGAAAGCAUGGGGAGCGAACAGGAUUAGAUACCCUGGUAGUCCAUGCCGUAAAACGUUGGGCACUAGGUGUGGGGUCCAUUCCACGGAUUCCGUGCCGCAGC